AGUGGACCCUCUGCCAGAGACAACUCUGCACAGCCAAAGAUCAGCCAUAUUACUUCCUCUCCUUUCAGAGGGUCAGGAGGCUCCUCAUGGAAAUCCAUGGGUCCAGCCCGCCUUUAAAUUUCCAGCAGGCCAUCUUCAUGGAAUGCUCUCCAAGCAAGGAAACAAGCUCAAGGAAAGCAGGGGCGUUAGGCGACGAGAGCUGAGGAAGCGUUGUUCUAAGUCACGGCAAACAUGGGGGCCGAACUUUGUGGCUUUUACCUCACCCAUAACUAUUUCACAUUUUGGGACAACAUAUCCCUUCCAAUCAGCGGCACUGCUCUGGGGAUCUAAAACCUCUCCUGAAGGAUGAUCCAUCACUCUCACAGAUCUUGGGAGAGAGGACAGUCCUUGCUUACGGACAGCCCCUCAACCUGAAUCAAAUUCUCACCAGCAACCACAGACCACACAACAAAAACACUAACCCAGGAACCUAUCCCUGCAACAAAGCCCUUUGCCAUCUCUGUCCACAUAUUUAUUCAGGGG
Molecule: long non-coding RNA, 522 nt
Organism: Mauremys reevesii (Reeves's turtle)
Lineage: Eukaryota; Metazoa; Chordata; Testudines; Geoemydidae
Exons: 4
Source: RefSeq, a predicted model, not a curated record